This is a long non-coding RNA of Cercocebus atys (sooty mangabey), 777 nucleotides long. RefSeq lists it as uncharacterized. The record is from RefSeq and is a predicted model, not a curated record. The transcript is spliced from 4 exons. Lineage: Eukaryota; Metazoa; Chordata; Mammalia; Primates; Cercopithecidae.
CUUAAUGUGUUUUCAUUGUGAAUCUAACGAUAUGCAAACUCAAGCUUUCAAAAUAGAUGUCUCUUCCACGUUUCAACAGGCCAAAAUGCUAGGCAAACUCUGCUUUUUUCAUUAUUUUAACAGUUAUUGGAAAAGUUCACUUUGGACAUGUGAUUUUUCUAACACUUAUUGCCAUCCUCACAGAGGAUUCAUUUUGUAUAGCCUUGUGUCUAGCUUCAAUACAAAACAAAUGCUGACCUAAAUAAUGAAAGCUUCCAUUCACAGGGCUCUUGGGAGAUGCUGUGUGCUGUGCUGCAUGUUUUGCAACGAGCUGAUCUUCUCAUCAAUCCGGUAAGGGCUUGAGCAAUUCACUUUCCCUCCCUGAGUCUUGGUGACCUGUGCUGUGAAAUAGAGAGAGACACCUACCACCUGCUGUCAGAGCCCAUCAAGGAUGAAGCUGUCUCAGAGGAGGGCAGAGCUCAGAAAACUGAACAGAAACACGGUCAGACUCCUGAUGAAACAGCACAUGAACUUCAUCCAACGUCUGGACUCUUCCUCAGUUACAGAAGCUAUAGAAGAAGCUGAAUUCACAUUGGGUUUGCCAUGGUAUGAGAAAGAGACAGACCAUUACAAACCACAGCCCGAGAGGCAGGGAAGGCCAGGAAAAUAUAAACCACCUGGGAAGAAGCAGAGAUCAAGGAGAGGACGUUGGAUUUCCACAGGCCAUGAGGUAUAGGAUGGAAGGUGUUUCUUAGACAAUUUUAUAUUUCAUAUAGAUCUAUUGCAACCAUUACAAUC